UUGGAUGGGCUCACGGCCUAUCAGCUUGUUGGUGAGGUAAUGGCUCACCAAGGCGACGACGGGUAGCCGGCCUGAGAGGGUGACCGGCCACACUGGGACUGAGACACGGCCCAGACUCCUACGGGAGGCAGCAGUGGGGAAUAUUGCACAAUGGGCGAAAGCCUGAUGCAGCGACGCCGCGUGAGGGAUGACGGCCUUCGGGUUGUAAACCUCUUUCAGCAGGGAAGAAGCCACAAGUGACGGUACCUGCAGAAGAAGCGCCGGCUAACUACGUGCCAGCAGCCGCGGUAAUACGUAGGGCGCAAGCGUUGUCCGGAAUUAUUGGGCGUAAAGAGCUCGUAGGCGGUUUGUCGCGUCUGCUGUGAAAGCCCGGGGCUUAACCCCGGGUGUGCAGUGGGUACGGGCAGACUAGAGUGCAGUAGGGGAGACUGGAAUUCCUGGUGUAGCGGUGGAAUGCGCAGAUAUCAGGAGGAACACCGAUGGCGAAGGCAGGUCUCUGGGCUGUUACUGACGCUGAGGAGCGAAAGCAUGGGGAGCGAACAGGAUUAGAUACCCUGGUAGUCCAUGCCGUAAACGUUGGGCACUAGGUGUGGGGGACAUUCCACGUUUUCCGCGCCGUAGCUAACGCAUUAAGUGCCCCGCCUGGGGAGUACGGCCGCAAGGCUAAAACUCAAAGGAAUUGACGGGGGCCCGCACAAGCGGCGGAGCAUGCGGAUUAAUUCGAUGCAACGCGAAGAACCUUACCAAGGCUUGACAUAUACCGGAUCGUUCCAGAGAUGGUUCUUCCCCUUUGGGGUCGGUAUACAGGUGGUGCAUGGUUGUCGUCAGCUCGUGUCGUGAGAUGUUGGGUUAAGUCCCGCAACGAGCGCAACCCUCGUUCCAUGUUGCCAGCACGUGAUGGUGGGGACUCAUGGGAGACUGCCGGGGUCAACUCGGAGGAAGGUGGGGAUGACGUCAAAUCAUCAUGCCCCUUAUGUCUUGGGCUUC
Molecule: ribosomal RNA, 987 nt
Filed under: Kocuria sp. MOLA 658
Lineage: Bacteria; Bacillati; Actinomycetota; Actinomycetes; Micrococcales; Micrococcaceae
Description: bacterial SSU rRNA
Rfam family: Bacterial small subunit ribosomal RNA
Source: RNAcentral